This 915-nucleotide long non-coding RNA is filed under the name Gadus morhua (Atlantic cod). RNAcentral describes it as "lncRNA (ENSGMOG00000025418.1)". Lineage: Eukaryota; Metazoa; Chordata; Actinopteri; Gadiformes; Gadidae. The record is from RNAcentral.
UUACAUAUAUUUUAAUGGAAACAGUUUUGAACAGGGGCAAGCUUGUAUUGGCUGGAGUUUGACUAUAACAGCACAAUUUAAAUUUAACAAUUUAAUCAGUCUAGCUAUUUAUGUUCCCCUUGAUUGUCAGAGGUAGAUCACUACACUUUCAGCUGUCCAGCUCAUUCAUACAGUAUUUUGUCAAUUCACAUUUCAGAGGCUGUUGAAAUUGAAGCUUGUUCACAAGAGGAUAUUGAAGAUGCAAGUAUGGCAGAUCAGGGUUCAGAAGAUGAGACCAUCACCACACCACCAUGCAAAAAUGCAAGCACACCAGAAGAAUCAGACGACGAGGACAGCACCACAUCCCUACAACAGAUCCCUUCAAAAAAGAGAGGUAAAAGAACUGUUGUCAAAAAAAGCUGGACAACGGAAGAAUGUGGUGCAGUCGAACGUCAUCUAAAAAAACAAAUUAUCAUGAACCAAGUCCCAGGGAAGGAGGAAUGUUUGCGCUGCAUCACUGCAGAACCUCAAGCCCUGAAAAAUCGCGACUGGAGGGCGGUGAAAUAUUAUGUCAAGAACAGAAUUACUUCUCUGCGGAGAAAAUUAGAGUGAAAGUAUAAUUUUUUUUUCUAUAAUUUCUUUUUUUUUUUCAAUGAAAAUACUCCCUUUCACCCUGUUAAGGUUGUUUGAGUCCUUUGAGUUAAGGUUGGUGAAGUCAUAACUUUUUAAUGGUUUUAUAUUUUGAGAUUUUUAUGUUUGAUGAUUUUUAUGUGAGUUUUAUAUUUUUGUUAUGUUAUUUCUCCUACAAUGACUGUUCAUUUCCAACAAUAAAUUCAUUAACUAACCCUUUACAGGCCGGUUUCUGUGACGUACACUCAUUUCUACACACAAAACAGCCCAAAAAUUAGAUAUUUUCUAAUUAGAGAUGGAUUUUCU